This is a non-coding RNA of Cordylochernes scorpioides, 84 nucleotides long. NCBI's taxonomy places the organism in Eukaryota, Metazoa, Arthropoda, Arachnida, Pseudoscorpiones, Chernetidae. The record is from the annotation of a GenBank genome assembly.
UAGCCUAUCGUCUUCCCGUAUUCCCGUAUGAACCUGGGCCGCCCGCGUGGCAGGCGAGCAUUCUACCACUGAACCACCGAUGCU